GUCGUUAGCUCAGUUGGUAGAGCAGUUGGCUUUUAACCAAUUGGUCGUAGGUUCGAAUCCCACACGACCCACCA
This 74-nucleotide transfer RNA is filed under the name Pseudomonas graminis. Its description in RNAcentral is "tRNA-Lys". It matches the Rfam family "tRNA". From Rfam's summary of the family: Transfer RNA (tRNA) molecules are approximately 80 nucleotides in length. Their secondary structure includes four short double-helical elements and three loops (D, anti-codon, and T loops). Further hydrogen bonds mediate the characteristic L-shaped molecular structure. tRNAs have two regions of fundamental functional importance: the anti-codon, which is responsible for specific mRNA codon recognition, and the 3' end, to which the tRNAs corresponding amino acid is attached (by aminoacyl-tRNA synthetases). tRNAs cope with the degeneracy of the genetic code in two manners: having more than one tRNA (with a specific anti-codon) for a particular amino acid; and 'wobble' base-pairing, i.e. permitting non-standard base-pairing at the 3rd anti-codon position. Lineage: Bacteria; Pseudomonadati; Pseudomonadota; Gammaproteobacteria; Pseudomonadales; Pseudomonadaceae. The record is from RNAcentral.